UGGGGAAUAUUGGACAAUGGGGGAAACCCUGAUCCAGCAAUGCCGCGUGAGUGAUGAAGGCCUUAGGGUUGUAAAGCUCUUUCGGUGGUGACGAUGAUGACGGUAACCACAGAAGAAGCUCCGGCUAACUCCGUGCCAGCAGCCGCGGUAAUACGGAGGGAGCUAGCGUUGUUCGGAAUUACUGGGCGUAAAGCGCACGUAGGCGGCUUUGUAAGUUAGAGGUGAAAGCCCGGAGCUCAACUCCGGAAUUGCCUUUAAGACUGCAUCGCUUGAAUCCAGGAGAGGUGAGUGGAAUUCCGAGUGUAGAGGUGAAAUUCGUAGAUAUUCGGAAGAACACCAGUGGCGAAGGCGGCUCACUGGACUGGUAUUGACGCUGAGGUGCGAAAGCGUGGGGAGCAAA
This 400-nucleotide ribosomal RNA is filed under the name uncultured bacterium. RNAcentral's name for it is "bacterial SSU rRNA". It matches the Rfam family "Bacterial small subunit ribosomal RNA", at positions 355 to 772 of the family's 1533-position model. The record is from RNAcentral.